RNAcentral lists this ribosomal RNA (253 nucleotides) under uncultured bacterium. RNAcentral describes it as "partial 16S ribosomal RNA". It matches the Rfam family "Bacterial small subunit ribosomal RNA", at positions 524 to 776 of the family's 1533-position model. The record is from RNAcentral.
UACGGAGGGUGCAAGCGUUAUCCGGAUUCACUGGGUUUAAAGGGUGCGUAGGUGGGUUGGUAAGUCAGUGGUGAAAUCCCCGGGCUUAACUCGGGAACUGCCAUUGAUACUAUCAGUCUUGAAUAUUGUGGAGGUUAGCGGAAUAUGUCAUGUAGCGGUGAAAUGCUUAGAUAUGACAUAGAACACCAAUUGCGAAGGCAGCUGGCUACACAUAUAUUGACACUGAGGCACGAAAGCGUGGGGAUCAAACAGG